This is a long non-coding RNA of Acomys russatus (golden spiny mouse), 565 nucleotides long. RefSeq lists it as uncharacterized. The transcript has 3 exons. NCBI's taxonomy places the organism in Eukaryota, Metazoa, Chordata, Mammalia, Rodentia, Muridae. The record is from RefSeq and is a predicted model, not a curated record.
GGCCUGGUCACACCUGUGCUGUAGGUCACACUGUAGGGAAGUGGGGUGCAGCCUCAAGGCCUGGUCACACCUGUGCUGUAGGUCACACUGUAGGGAAGUGGGGUGCAGCCUCAAGGCCUGGUCACACCUGUGCUGUAGGUCACACUGUAGGGAAGUGGGGUGCAGCCUCAAGGCCUGGUCACACCUGUGCUGUAGGUCACACUGUAGGGAAGUGGGGUGCAGCCUCAAGGCCUGGUCACACCUGUGCUGUAGGUCACACUGUAGGGAAGUGGGGUGCAGCCUCAAGGCCUGGUCACACCUGUGCUGUAGAUCACUGCCAGGGGUGGCUUUGUACUUCUGCUCAGCUCAAACUGCUUUGGCUCCACAAACUUAGGUCCUCUCAGGCCUUCUUCCUUCACUUCCUCCUCUUCACAAAGGCUUCUCCACAAUCACCCUGGAACCUUAUUGCUCUCGGCUUCUCAUGAUCCAGAUAUGGAUCUAUGGUCACGGUCGCCUAGACACCCACCUGGCCUGGCUCUCUCAGUCAACCAGGUUUCUGACGUGGUUUCUCAGAAUGUGGCUAGCU